CAGCAGUAUAUUUUGCAGACAUGGCCAAGAAUAAAUCAAAGGUACAAAAAAAGAAGGACGUGUUUCAAGUGGCCAAUAAGAAACAAAUGAAGGCUAAA
Protopterus annectens (West African lungfish) is the source of this 98-nucleotide long non-coding RNA. RefSeq lists it as uncharacterized. The transcript has 3 exons. The record is from RefSeq and is a predicted model, not a curated record. Lineage: Eukaryota; Metazoa; Chordata; Ceratodontiformes; Protopteridae.